This 253-nucleotide ribosomal RNA is filed under the name uncultured bacterium. RNAcentral describes it as "partial 16S ribosomal RNA". It matches the Rfam family "Bacterial small subunit ribosomal RNA", at positions 524 to 776 of the family's 1533-position model. The record is from RNAcentral.
UACGAAGGGGGCUAACGUUGCUCGGAAUCACUGGGCGUAAAGCGCACGUAGGCGGAUUGUUAAGUCAGGGGUGAAAUCCUGGAGCUCAACUCCAGAACUGCCUUUGAUACUGGCGAUCUUGAAUCCGGGAGAGGUGAGUGGAACUGCGAGUGUAGAGGUGAAAUUCGUAGAUAUUCGCAAGAACACCAGUGGCGAAGGCGGCUCACUGGCCCGGUACUGACGCUGAGGUGCGAAAGCGUGGGGAGCAAACAGG